AAAAGUGCGAUGAAAAGAAGAGUAGUAAAGAAAGAAUGUCCUAAAGAGAGCUAGGUAAGGUGAAAGCUAGCGGCAAGAAUCUUUAUGAAGAUGGCCUUGGAGCAUAUUUCUUGAGCUAUUCAGUUAGAGGAAUACGGGAGCAACCGUUAUAUUGCAGGGUGAUUAAAUUCACCUAGUGAGAUAUUUAUUGUGAAAUAAGUAUGAAUUAGAGUGGUAACACGUAUAAUACGUCUCUAUA
This 238-nucleotide non-coding RNA is filed under the name Clostridium sp. RNAcentral describes it as "T-box sequence". It matches the Rfam family "T-box leader". From Rfam's summary of the family: Uncharged tRNA acts as the effector for transcription antitermination of genes in the T-box leader family. T-boxes are found upstream of many aminoacyl-tRNA synthetase genes and some amino acid biosynthetic genes usually in Gram-positive bacteria. The anticodon of a specific tRNA base pairs to a specifier sequence within the T-box motif, and the NCCA acceptor tail of the tRNA base pairs to a conserved bulge in the T-box antiterminator hairpin. Lineage: Bacteria; Bacillati; Bacillota; Clostridia; Eubacteriales; Clostridiaceae. The record is from RNAcentral.